UGUCUAACUACAGCUCCCAUGAUUCAAGCCUGGAGCCAUGGCAGUGAAAGUGGGGUCAAAGUGCAUUCAUUCCACAGUGAAGAUGCGCCUUUUGAAUGACCCGAUGGCGCACAACAACAAAGACAUUAAGGAUUAUUGUUAUUAUUUUAUGGGGGAAAGAAGGGCGCUGCCUUUCCCUGCGUGGAAAGCAUUCUUUCCUAGGCGAGAGCCUGCCUGCCUGCCUGCCUGCCUCUCUCCAUUGGAGCCCAUGCUGUCGGAGGGGGAGCUUCGCAGCCCACCCAAUGCCUUCCCUUUCGGGGCGGAGCAGCUCCAGCCCGGACGGCGCCGCCAGAGAGAGCCGCGAUGCAAAAGGCAGAGGCCCGGCCACGUCAGCACGACCACCCCGGGGGCCCCGAUCCCAGGCCCGGCGGCGGGGCAGCCAUGGACAUCCCCGCGGGGCACAGGCUGGUAUGGCAUCGCGCGUGGGGAACCAUCCCUUUACACUGUCAAGGCAAUUUUUAUCAUGGACAGCUUUGGGCAGCAGCUUUUGGCCAAGUAUUAUGAUGAUACAUUUCCAUCCACGAAAGAACAGAAGAGCUUUGAGAGAAAUGUCUUCAACAAAACCCACAAGACUGAUAGUGAGAUUGCUUUCUUGGAAGGACUGACCAUUGUCUAUAAGAGCAGCAUUGAUCUUUUCUUUUAUGUGGUGGGGAGUCCACAUGAAAAUGAGCUGAUGCUAACAUCGGUUCUCAGUUGUCUUUUUGAAUCCCUCAACCACAUGCUGCGAAAGAAUGUGGAGAAGCGAGCCCUGAUGGAGAAUUUGGAUGGAGUAUUCCUUGUGGUGGAUGAGAUCGUUGAUGGCGGUGUGAUUUUAGAAAGUGAUCCUCAGCAAGUCAUCCAGAAGUUAAAUUUCAGAACAGUCCCCGAGCCUGCGCCUUAUGGCUUUGUUCUCCUUGAUUACAUCGUGGGCAAUACAGAGCACAGUGAAAUUUUGCCUGAGAUGUUCCAAAAAUAGAUAAAUGUUCUCACAAACAGGAAGCAGGAGUGGAUGACCCAUCUUUAUCAGAGCACAGUGUCACUCAGGUCCUUCAGUCUGCCAAAGAGCAAAUUAAGUGGUCCUUAUUAAAAUAAAAUACUCCAAACAAAAGGCACAGCACUGGAGAAUUUUGAUUUGCAGUUUCUAACAUGGUUCUUGAAACAUUGUUUUUUCCUGAUUGCCCUCAAAGGAUGAGACCCUUCCAAUGAAGCCUGAUUAUUCUGAUUUAAGAGGAAACCAACCUGCUGAAGCUUAUCUGAGUAACUUUUCAAAGUAAGCAGCAAAGUCUGGUAUUAAUUAAUACAUAGACAGCUGCCCUUGACUGUCGUUUUCAAGAGGUUCCUUCCAGACAGAUAUAACCUGCCAUUGCCAGUUAAAAGACACCAGGGAGCUAUUUCACCUUGCUCUUUUUAAUGGAUGUUUGGUAUUUUAUUCUGGUAAGAAGGCAUAAGAAACACAGAAGAAUUACAAUUUUCAUCUACAUCCACCCAUAUUAUCCACAAUGUUUUUUCCCCAAGUGCUUCUAUAGCAGGCAUGGGCAAACUUCAGCCAUCCAGGUGUUUUGAACUUCAACUCCCAGAAUUCCUAACAGGUAGACAGUUAGGAAUGUGGGAAUUGAAGUCCAAAACACCCGGAGGACCGAAGUUUGCCCAUGCCUGCUCUAUAGUAUCCUUUCUCCAGCUCCACAAAGAUGGCAGAAAAUAAAAGAUAUAUUUGCACAAA
RNA transcript from Anolis carolinensis (green anole), 1738 nucleotides. It is a transcript of the gene named COPI coat complex subunit zeta 2, with no coding region annotated. The record is from RefSeq and is a predicted model, not a curated record. Lineage: Eukaryota; Metazoa; Chordata; Lepidosauria; Squamata; Anolidae. The transcript is spliced from 10 exons.